AGUAAGGUGCGGUGCUUGGAGGAUUCUAUCACAGACACAAGAGAGGCAGUAAGGUGCGGUGCUUGGAGGAUUCUAUCACAUAUACAAGGGAGGCAGUAAGGUGCGGUGCUUGGAGGAUUCUAUCACAUACACAAGGGAGGCAGUAAGGUGCGGUGCUUGGAGGAUUCUGUCACAUACACCAGGGAGGCAGUAAGGCGCGGUGCUUGGAGGAUUCUAUCACAUAUACAAGGGAGGCAGUAAGGCGCGGUGCUUGGAGGAUUCUGUCACAUAUACAAGGGAGGCAGUAAGGUGCGGUGCUUGGAGGAUUCUGUCACAUACACAAGGGAGGCAGUAAGGUGCGGUGCUUGGAGGAUUCUGUCACAUACACAAGGGAGGCAGUAAGGUGCGGUGCUUGGAGGAUUCUGUCACAUACACAAGGGAGGCAGUAAGGUGCGGUGCUUGGAGGAUUCUGUCACAUACACAAGGGAGGCAGUAAGGCGCGGUGCUUGGAGGAUUCUGUCACAUACACAAGGGAGGCAGUAAGGUGCGGUGCUUGCAGGAUUCUAUCACAUAUACAAGGGAGGCAGUAAGGCGCGGUGCUUAGAGGAUUCUAUCACAUACACCAGGGAGGCAGUAAGGUGCGGUGCUUGGAGCCUCUAGAACCAGACUGCUCAGCUCUGACUCUCAGCUCUACUCUUCAUGGCUG
RNAcentral lists this long non-coding RNA (685 nucleotides) under Pan troglodytes (chimpanzee). RNAcentral describes it as "long non-coding RNA NONPTRT012830". Lineage: Eukaryota; Metazoa; Chordata; Mammalia; Primates; Hominidae. The record is from RNAcentral.